GACUUUUUAGUAUAAUUAAGUAUGUCUAAUUUCCAAUUAGGUGGUUAAGAAGUUA
Molecule: transfer RNA, 55 nt
Filed under: Enterobius vermicularis (human pinworm)
Lineage: Eukaryota; Metazoa; Nematoda; Chromadorea; Rhabditida; Oxyuridae
Description: tRNA-Gly
Source: RNAcentral